UACGGUGGAUGCCUAGGCGCCAGGAGCCGAAGAAGGACGCGGUAAGCUGCGAAAAGCCACGGGGAACUGCAAGCGAGUAUUGAUCCGUGGAUAUCCGAAUGGGGAAACCCGGCCAUCGUAAUGGAUGGUCAUCCGCAAGGAAGGGAACCCGGGGAACUGAAACAUCUAAGUACCCGGAGGAAAAGAAAUCAAACGAGAUGCCCACAGUAGCGGCGAGCGAAGAGGGCAGAGCCCAAACCUGUAAGCUACGGCUUAUGGGGGUUGAGGACUGACGUAAUUAAGGCCAGGCUUAGCUGAACUACCUGGGAAGGUAGGCUAGAUAAGGUAAGAGCCCUGUAAGCGAAAGGCAGAGCCUUAAGGUCAGUAUCCAGAGUACCACGGAGCACGAGGAAUUCUGUGGGAAGCAGGGGGGACCACCCUCCAAGGCUAAAGACUAACUGGCGACCGAUAGCGCAUAGUACCGUGAGGGAAAGGUGAAAAGAACCCCGGGAGGGGAGUGAAAUAGUACCUGAAACCGUAUGUCUACAAGCAGUCGGAGCGAAAGCGACGGCGUGCCUAUUGAAGAAUGAACCAACGAGUUAUCUGCACUAGCGAGGUUAAGUGGAAGACACGGAGCCGUAGCGAAAGCGAGUCUGAAAAGGGCGGAUAGUUAGUGUAGGUAGACCCGAAACCGCAGUGAUCUACCCAUGUCCAGGUUGAAGCGCAGGUAAAAAUGCGUGGAGGACCGAACCGGUGAGCGUUGAAAAGCUUUCGGAUGAGAUGUGGGUAGGGGUGAAAUUCCAAUCGAACGCGGAGAUAGCUGGUUCUCCCCGAAAUAGCUUUAGGGCUAGCCUCAGGUAGUAAGUAUAGGCGGUAGAGCACUGAUCGGGCUAGGGGCCAUAAAGGUUACCGAACCCUGUCAAACUCCGAAUGGAUAUACUGCAGAGCCUGGGAGUCAGACUACGAGUGAUAAGAUCCGUGGUCAAAAGGGAAACAGCCCAGACCACCGGCUAAGGUCCCAAAUGCCGUACUAAGUGGAAAAGGAUGUGGGGAUUCAUAAACAACCAGGAUGUUGGCUCAGAAGCAGCCACCAUUUAAAGAGUGCGUAAUAGCUCACUGGUCGAGAGUCCCUGCGCCGAAAAUUUCCGGGGCUAAAGUACGGAACCGAAGCCGUGGCUGUGCAUGUAAGUGCACGGGGUAGGGGAGCGUUGCCACAGGGGUGAAGCUGGUCUGGAAGGACUGGUGGACUUGUGGGAAGUGAGAAUGUUGGUAUGAGUAGCGAAAAGAAAGGUGAGAAUCCUUUCCACCGAAAGCAUAAGGAUUCCUGAGCAACGAUCGUCGUCUCAGGGUAAGUCGGGACCUAAUCCGAGGCAAAGAGCGUAGGAGAUGGACAACAGGUUGAUAUUCCUGUACCGGCAGCAAUUGUUUGAGCGAAGGAGUGACACAGAAGGGCAGGCAGGCGCGAGACUGGAUUGUCGCGUGCAAGCGUGUAGGGUAGUGUACAGGCAAAUCCGUACACUGAAAGCCUGAGGCGUUACGCGGAGCGAGCAGAGAUGCGAGCGAAGCUGCUGAUCCCACACUGUCGAGAAAAGCUUCUAGUGAGAGAGCUGCCGCCCGUACCGUAAACCGACACAGGUAUGCGGGGAGAGAAUCCUAAGGUGCGCGGGAGAACCCUCGUUAAGGAACUCGGCAAAAUGUACCCGUAACUUCGGGAUAAGGGUAGCCGUCUUGGUGAAGGAACUUGCUUCUGGAGCUAAAGGCGGUCGCAGAGAAGAGGCCCAAGCGACUGUUUACCACAAACACAGGUGCCUGCUAAAGCGAAAGCUGACGUAUAGGUGCUGACACCUGCCCAGUGCUGGAAGGUUAAGGAAGGAUGUCCGGGCAACCAAAGCAUUCGACCGAAGCCCCAGUGAACGGCGGCCGUAACAAUAACGGUCCUAAGGUAGCGAAAUUCCUUGUCGGGUAAGUUCCGACCCGCACGAAAGGUGUAACGAUUUGGGCACUGUCUCAACGAGGGACCCGGUGAAAUUGAAAUACCUGUGAAGAUGCAGGUUACCCGCGACUGGACAGAAAGACCCCAUGGAGCUUUACUGUAACCUGACAUUGGGUUUUGUUGUAUUACGUACAGGAUAGGUGGGAGGCUUGGAAGGCUGGACGCUAGUCUGGCUGGAGCCGGCGUUGGGAUACCACCCUUGAUACAACGGAAUUCUAACCGAGAGAGUAACGAAAUCCGGGACAGUGUCAGGCGGGCAGUUUGACUGGGGCGGUCGCCUCCGAAAGAGUAACGGAGGCGCCCAAAGGU
This 2281-nucleotide ribosomal RNA is filed under the name human gut metagenome. RNAcentral's name for it is "bacterial LSU rRNA". It matches the Rfam family "Bacterial large subunit ribosomal RNA", at positions 20 to 2317 of the family's 2925-position model. The record is from RNAcentral.